This 293-nucleotide ribosomal RNA is filed under the name uncultured bacterium. RNAcentral's name for it is "partial 16S ribosomal RNA". It matches the Rfam family "Bacterial small subunit ribosomal RNA", at positions 775 to 1067 of the family's 1533-position model. The record is from RNAcentral.
GGAUUAGAUACCCUGGUAGUCCACGCCGUAAACGAUUAGAACUAGAUGUCGGGAGGAAUUGCCUUUCGGUGUCGCAGCUAACGCGUUAAGUUCUCCGCCUGGGGAGUACGCCGUCAACGGUAAAACUCAAAGGAAUUGACGGGGACCCGCACAAGCGGUGGAGCAUGUGGUUUAAUUCGAUGCAACGCGAAGAACCUUACCUGCCCUUGACAUCCUCGGAACUUGUCAGAGAUGACUUGGUGCCUUCGGGAACCGAUUGACAGGUGCUGCAUGGCCGUCGUCAGCUCGUGCUG